CCAAACAUUCUUGUAAUAUCAUCAACAGACUUGAAGUUUUCCCCUUAACUCAAACUCCUUUGCAAUAGAUUUCUGUGUAAAUCUAUUUAUGAGAGCCUGCCAAACUUCAAGUGAGAUGAUCAGGAUUCAUUAUCUCUCCUGUC
Molecule: long non-coding RNA, 143 nt
Organism: Eucalyptus grandis
Lineage: Eukaryota; Viridiplantae; Streptophyta; Magnoliopsida; Myrtales; Myrtaceae
Exons: 3
Source: RefSeq, a predicted model, not a curated record